GACGUAGGGCGCGAGCGUUGUCCGGAUUUAUUGGGCGUAAAAGAGCUCGUAGGCGGCUUGUUGCGUCAGCUGUGAAAACCCGCAGCUCAACUGUGGGCUUGCAGCUGAUACGGGCAGGGCUUGAGUUCGGUAGGGGAGACUGGAAUUCCUGGUGUAGCGGUGAAAUGAGCGCCAGAGUAUCAGGAGGAACACCGGUGGCGAA
This 202-nucleotide ribosomal RNA is filed under the name uncultured bacterium. RNAcentral's name for it is "partial 16S ribosomal RNA". It matches the Rfam family "Bacterial small subunit ribosomal RNA", at positions 524 to 719 of the family's 1533-position model. The record is from RNAcentral.